This 331-nucleotide ribosomal RNA is filed under the name uncultured bacterium. RNAcentral describes it as "bacterial SSU rRNA". It matches the Rfam family "Bacterial small subunit ribosomal RNA", at positions 568 to 898 of the family's 1533-position model. The record is from RNAcentral.
CGCGUAGGUGGUAGUGUAAGUCUGGGGUGGAAUCCCAGGGCUUAACCCUGGAACUGCCUUGGAAACUGUAUUACUUGAGUCAGUGAGGGGAGGGUAGAAUUCCUGGUGUAGCGGUGAAAUGCGUAGAUAUCAGGAGGAAGGCCCGUGGCGAAGGCGGCCCUCUGGCGCUGGACUGACACUGAGGCGCGAAAGCGUGGGGAGCAAACAGGAUUAGAUACCCUGGUAGUCCACGCCCUAAACGGUGGGCACUAGGUGUAGGGCUCGUAAGGGUUCUGUGCCGAAGGGAAACCAUUAAGUGCCCCCGCCUGGGGAGUACGGCCGCAAGGUUGAA